This is a long non-coding RNA of Uranotaenia lowii, 885 nucleotides long. RefSeq lists it as uncharacterized. The record is from RefSeq and is a predicted model, not a curated record. NCBI's taxonomy places the organism in Eukaryota, Metazoa, Arthropoda, Insecta, Diptera, Culicidae. The transcript is spliced from 3 exons.
UUAUGCCAAAUGGCUUUUAUGCCAAAUGGCUUUAUGCCAAAAGGCAUUAUGCCAAAUGGCUUUAUGCCAAAUGUCAUACUCCCCUGGAAGGAGUACCGUUGAGGUCAAGGAAAAGUAAACAACGUUAAAACUAAGGAAUUUCAAUGGAAGGAGUUGAAGGAGAAAGUCGACGCCGAAACUGAAAACGCGACCAAGGCAGUGGGAAUUAAUAAACAGUUGCGGCAGCUUCGGUUGGUGCGAUAACGAUGUCCAUCCCUCCGGUUAGAAAGCCAGUUGUAUCACCGGCACUGGCCAUCGCUAGCAAUUUGCUUGCCGUCUUUGUACGAUAGGGUCGGCAUAGAAUUUGUUCUCAGCUAUGGAUUAGGCCAUGGCUGCGACGCUGGCGGCCACCGAAGUUCCCGAGAACCCUGCCCAAAAAAUGGAUAAACAAGAAACCGCACCGACAUCCUGAAUCCUGAACAAAAAUUACGGCAACAGGGUCAUCAGCUACAUUAUAACAUUCGUUCUGCUGGUCCAUGCUACAUGUGACUUUAAUGGUUUUCUAUCUUGCACACGUUCUUCAAAACCACGUUAAAAAUCAAAAUUCAGGAUAUGGUUCUUGCUUCCGGAACAACAAGCAUAGGUACCUGGUGGCAAGCGACAGUGAGGAAACAUUCGAGGCAACCUGGGCCAAGAUGACUAUUCCGAAUCGACCCAUCGACGGUUUCGAAAGCAACGACUCAAGUGAACACGAUAGGCAUUUCGAUUUCACUUAAACCGGAUCAACAUUUUUAAGACGACGAUACCUCUUAUAAUUCCGUUUAUAUAUUGUCUUUUAAGGAACCAGAUGUGUUCUUACUAAUUGAAAAUUGAUGUUUUCACUUAAUUAAAUUAAAUUAAUUCAAA